Molecule: non-coding RNA, 78 nt
Filed under: Tistrella mobilis
Lineage: Bacteria; Pseudomonadati; Pseudomonadota; Alphaproteobacteria; Geminicoccales; Geminicoccaceae
Also listed under: 1 other name
Source: RNAcentral
UGCCCCUGUCGCGCCGAUUUGAGCCACAGCUUGCGGGCGCGUUACAAAUGCAGCUAAAGCGGAGGGGUCGGAAACCCG